This is a long non-coding RNA of Drosophila ficusphila, 3317 nucleotides long. RefSeq lists it as uncharacterized. The transcript is spliced from 2 exons. The record is from RefSeq and is a predicted model, not a curated record. Lineage: Eukaryota; Metazoa; Arthropoda; Insecta; Diptera; Drosophilidae.
GAAAAUUGAAAUUGUGUAAUCGGCCAUAAUGCCAUCUCGGGCUCUGUUUGCCAAUGCCAUUAGAAAUUGGGAAUUCGCGAACAGUCGCUGACUCGGGCUAUUUGAAUUGGCUUCCUGUUCGGGGUUUAUUUUGCCAUGGCAGCCUCUGUUUAUUUAUAAUUCGAUUGGAAAUGCGUUCGGCCAAAGAAGUUCAUUUGGAUGGCGCCACCUCAUCGGAUUUUAUGACCAUUUGCGGUUUGUUUAUCUUUCUCUCUGUUUAGCUUAAUUACCGUGGCAUUUCAUUCAUAUUUAAUGUGUCGGAAAGUUCUGCCCACCCACACAGAAACUCAAUCGAAUCGAAUCGCUCUUUGAGUGCUCGGUUAAUGAUUUUUAUUGAAAUCGGCAUAGUUUUCGCUUCACUUCCCAGGCACCCAUAAAUUCAUAAUGCAAGGGGAAACUUUAGUUGGCUAUUUGCUCUGUCCAGAUUGAUUAGAAGAUUGAUGGACCGGCUGCAGCUAAGUGAGAAUGACUUCAACUUUGCGAACUACUCGUAAUUGAUUGGCCUAGUCAAUUUCUAUUAGUCUUAGAAGCACCAGAGACGAGCUAAAAGGUUUGCUAAAAUUGUUUGAUCGCGGCCUGCAUAAAUUAUGUGUGUUUUUUGCCCGCUAAUAAAGUCUUAAAGCUCGUGAACCUUGUGCAAAUUUAAUUCCAGCGGUGGGACAUCAAAAGACGGUCCCUUUUUUAAUCAGCAAACUCAUUAGCAUCGUCCGCUAACUAAAUACAAAUUAAAGAAACAGCAUCCACAGCUGGCAAAGCCAGUCGCUUUCCCCCCUUUUUCCCGCUUUCCCCCAGCUUUUCCGACUGCUCCUGCUGGUUGCUGAAAAGUUUUCACUCGGCAGCCGUCAAGUUGAUGUAAUGAAAAAGUUGCAGCGUUUUUCUAACAAUAUUUCCCAGCUCAUAUCACAUGACGUGGACGUGGACACGCCGGCUACUGGCAGAAGCUGAUGCGGAAAGCCUUCAAAACAACAAGCACUCGGCACAGGGCGCUAAUUAGUUUCGAGUCGGGGUUUGAAUAAAAAAAUAAUUUGCAAAAAACGUGGCUCAUACGCAACGUUGGCCCGCAUCCAUGGCGCAUUAUUAAUACACACUUUGUUGGUAAAUAGCAAAAAACGGAAAGAAAUACUUUUUUGAAUGCCAACAAAAAGCAGAAAUAAAUAAACCCCGGCCAUGCCUCAUGUAGUUUUUCUCUGGACCAGCCGGCGGAAAAAUCACUGGCAGAGGAAAAGCCGAACAAAGAGGCAAAGGAAAAGCAUGUGAGCAGUGGGUUAGCCGCCUGGAAGUGCAGCUCAUUAUAAAAUAGCCAAGGCAACAAAAACCUAUUUCCGAUUCGGGGGCGGGUCAAAGGUAGGAACCCCGGUCCCCAAAAAAUUCACUUUGAGAACCCAACAGAAAUUUUAACGAUGCAUAUAAAAGCCCGGCGACGGCAAAUGAAUAAAUAAUUUAUGCGUAAGGGUCCUAAACACUCGAGUGGCUGGCAACAUUAUUUGCAAAGUUGCUCGGAUCUUCUCCUUUUUUACAUUUUUUUACACAUUUUCCACACGUAGCAAAUUUUAUCUCUCUAUUACCUGGCGGCACUGGCUUGAUUUAGUGGCGAUGUCUCAGCUGGAAAAAAGGGUUGAGCUUUUCCCGCCCCUCCGCUGACUUUUCCCGUGCGUUGCCCGUCGGGUUAUGUUUGCUUAUCACCUGGCUGGCUACUCAAACAGAGGGAAAAACGAUUGGGCCCUCUGUUUGCACAUUUGGCACGUUUCAAUCUCGCAGCGAUUGCCGAACUGCAUGCAAAUUGCAGGCCGAAUCCCCCUUUUUUUGUGGCUAACGGACUUAAUCUUCUUGGGAAAGGCAAAUAAAAACUGGCCAGAACGCACUUUCGAUUAGUAAUGAAGUAUUUCCCCACUAUUAGUAAAAAAAACAUACAACGACUUGAUCUUCUGUUUGAAAACAACUCCAGUGAAUAAGUGAAAUUUUAUUUACUUAUUUAACUUUUAAGUGAACAACAAAAUAAAAAAGUUUUCUAUUGAACUAUCCAAUAAUAUAUUGACAAGUUAAUAUUCAAGUGAGUUUGUAAAGUAUUAUUCCAUGGUUAAGACUUUAAGCUGAUAUUUCUGUAAAACGUGAACAGAAUUUUUAAUUUAAAUGGAGUGGUAAUUGGAGAUUAAAGUGGCAAGUCCGUUUGAAUAAGUAAAUUGCCAAUAUUAAAGGGCGAUAAUACAAAACGUGGACUGCAUUUAAAAAUGAAAAUAGAUUAAAAAUUAUAAUUGAGUAGCUUUAUUGUUAUUUAUAUAUUUUAUUUAUGAGCUGUUAUCGUUGCUUAACUUGAAUUUAAGCUUAAGCUAAACGCCUUAAAAGAAUAUAUUCCGGAUUAGGAGAUGGGCAGUGGGUUCAACCCGGUCCCAACUCAAAGUUGUCACUUGUCAGUGGCAGGCGAUGCACGAGCGGAAAUUGGAAAGUUCGCCCAGACAUUGACUCCAAUUAAGCAGCUGGCGAACAGCAGACAAUUUUUGGAGGAUCCCCUCUCCCCUCUGCCCAAUCGAUCACCAUAAAUUGCCCAACCCACUGUCUUAAGACCCAAAUAUCUCAAUUGCGCACCGCAGCCAAGGCAAUUUCAAAAGAAUAUGUAAAUCAGUUCCAUUUGAAUAUUUACGUCUCGCAGCGGAGGGCUUUCUCAAUUGAUUUGUAAUUCACUUUUGUGUUGUACAAUUCUGCGUCAAGCUCUUCGUUUGCCCGGCAGUUUCUUAUCGCCGGGAUUGGUUUGGUUCGGUUUGGAUUGGAUUGGGAUUCGGAGAUGCUUUUUGACACCGAAACGGAAUGGUUAAGCAAACAUAAAUAUGCAAACUAGAGGCACCGGAGCGGUCAAGGCGAUAAGGUGGAAAAACGAGACCGUUAACGGAGUUUCGAAAGCGGGAAAAGUGCGCGCGUUGCUGGGAAAACUGGUUUGCGGGUCCUGUCGCACGAUGCGAUUAAUGACGCGAUGUCUGCUGUUCGCAAGCUGCUGUAAGCUGAAUCCGGAGCUGGUUGAGUUGGCUGAAAAGCGCGCUGUGUGUUUGCCGCACGGCCGACAGAAAUCGACUGAACGCAUUCGGCUGCUGCCACGCUUUUUAAGACUGAGAGAAAAGCGGAAAAGUCGGAAAAGCCAGCGAGCGAGAGAGAGAGAGAGAGAGUAAGUGAGAAGAGGACCUGCGAUGACAUCAAGCGAAAGCUUUUCCAUUUGAAUCUCGAGGCGGUUAGCCCUCGGCCAAUACUACCAUACAACUACACAACUGAAAUAAAUCAAAUUGAAUUUA